Molecule: ribosomal RNA, 445 nt
Filed under: uncultured bacterium
Lineage: Bacteria
Description: partial 16S ribosomal RNA
Rfam family: Bacterial small subunit ribosomal RNA
Source: RNAcentral
GUGAGGAAUAUUGCGCAAUGGAGGCAACUCUGACGCAGCCAUGCCGCGUGCAGGAAGAAGGCGCUACGCGUUGUAAACUGCUUUUAACCGGGAAGAAACCCCAGGACGUGUCCUGGGUUGACGGUACCGGAGGAAUAAGCACCGGCUAACUUCGUGCCAGCAGCCGCGGUAAUACGAAGGGUGCAAGCGUUAUCCGGAUUCAUUGGGUUUAAAGGGUGCGUAGGCGGAGCGUUAAGUCAGUGGUGAAAUCCUGCAGCUUAGCUGUAGACUUGCCAUUGAUACUGGCGCUCUUGAGUGCGCUUGAAGUGGGCGGAAUGUGCCGUGUAGCGGUGAAAUGCUUAGAUAUGGCACAGAACACCAAUUGCGAAGGCAGCUCACUAAGGCGAUACUGACGCUGAGGCACGAAAGCGUGGGGAUCGAACAGGAUUAGAUACCCGGGUAGUCC